This 484-nucleotide ribosomal RNA is filed under the name uncultured bacterium. RNAcentral's name for it is "partial 16S ribosomal RNA". It matches the Rfam family "Bacterial small subunit ribosomal RNA", at positions 30 to 507 of the family's 1533-position model. The record is from RNAcentral.
AUUGAACGCUGGCGGCAGGCCUAACACAUGCAAGUCGAGCGGAUGAAGGGAGCUUGCUCCUGGAUUCAGCGGCGGACGGGUGAGUAAUGCCUAGGAAACUGCCUGGUAGUGGGGGAUAACGUCCGGAAACGGGCGCUAAUACCGCAUACGUCCUGAGGGAGAAAGUGGGGGAUCUUCGGACCUCACGCUAUCAGAUGAGCCUAGGUCGGAUUAGCUAGUUGGUGGGGUAAAGGCCUACCAAGGCGACGAUCCGUAACUGGUCUGAGAGGAUGAUCAGUCACACUGGAACUGAGAAACGGUCCAGACUCCUACGGGAGGCAGCAGUGGGGAAUAUUGGACAAUGGGCGAAAGCCUGAUCCAGCCAUGCCGCGUGUGUGAAGAAGGUCUUCGGAUUGUAAAGCACUUUAAGUUGGGAGGAAGGGCAGUAAGUUAAUACCUUGCUGUUUUGACGUUACCAACAGAAUAAGCACCGGCUAACUUCGUG